This 634-nucleotide ribosomal RNA is filed under the name Dascyllus trimaculatus (three spot damselfish). Its description in RNAcentral is "partial small subunit ribosomal RNA". It matches the Rfam family "Bacterial small subunit ribosomal RNA", at positions 526 to 1447 of the family's 1533-position model. Lineage: Eukaryota; Metazoa; Chordata; Actinopteri; Pomacentridae. The record is from RNAcentral.
CGAGAGGCUCAAGUUGACAGACACCGGCGUAAAGAGUGGUUAAGGAAAUUUUUAGAUUAAAGCCGAACGCCUACAAGACUGUCAUACGUUCUUCGAAGGUAUGAAGCCCCACCACGAAAGUGGCUUUAUCCCCCCUGACCCCACGAAAGCUGAGAAACAAACCGGGAUUAGAUACCCCAUUAUGCUCAGCCGUAAACUUUGAUAGCCUACUACACCCGCUAUCCGCCCGGGUACUACGAGCACCAGCUUAAAACCCAAAGGACUUGGCGGUGCUUAACAUCCAUCUAGAGGAGCCUGUCCAAUAACCGAUAAUCCCCGUUAAACCUCACCCUCCCUUGUCUUUCCCGCCUAUAUACCGCCGUCGUCAGCUCACCCUUUGAGGGAACCAUAGUAAGCAAAAUUGGCACAGCCCAGUACGUCAGGUCGAGGUGUAGCUAAUGAGAGGGGAUGAGAUGGGCUACAUUUCCUAAACAAGGAAAUACGAAUAAUGAUUCUGAAACGAGCAUUAGAAGGAGGAUUUAGUAGUAAGUAGAAAACAGAGUGUUCUACUGAAUCGGCCACUUAAGCGCGCACACACCGCCCGUCACUCUCCCCAAGCUAAACAAAAAUUCAUUCCUAAAACCCCCACCUGCGA